Ictidomys tridecemlineatus (thirteen-lined ground squirrel) is the source of this 7025-nucleotide non-coding RNA. NCBI's taxonomy places the organism in Eukaryota, Metazoa, Chordata, Mammalia, Rodentia, Sciuridae. The record is from RefSeq and is a predicted model, not a curated record.
UAUUUUUUUUAAAAAAAUCAGGCAUUGUUCAGGCAAUUUAUCAAAGACAAAUAAUAGAGUAGUCAUUUAAAUUUCAAAUGUGAAAGCCAUUUGCAUGAUAUGGAGAGGCUUUGUGGAGAAGCUUAAAACUGAGGACCAGCAUGAAGAAAUUGUUUUCAGUUUUUUCACUUUUUUUGAAGGUCACUACCUUUCUUUUACUACUGAGAAGUUUAGAUAGAGAUCAUUCCAUAGUGUUCCCCUCACUGAGGAAAGUGAACAUUUAAUACUUGGUUGUUGAACAGAUACUCAAAAGUUGCCUCCCAUCUUUAGCUUCAGCUAGUUGAAAUCAGGUAAAACAUCCAAUUAGACGUCAAAUUGUAUAUUUCCUUGCUUCUCGUUUUUUUUUCCAUAUUCCCUAACUUGAGGGAAUAGUGACACAGUGUAGAACCAGCACAGUUUGUCCCCUUCCCUCUGGGAAAAAAAAAAAAAACCCAAACUCAUUCCCAUUCACCUGCCUCAAGUGGCAGUUAUUAGGGCGUGACGCUCGGGCCUGAAGUGCAAUGUCCUACUACCUUUAUCAGAUCCAGAUGGGGAUGAGGUACCUGGAAUGUGGCUUUCUCUCAAUAUAGACUUCAAACUCAAGAGGCAAGGCAUCUCCAACUCACACACCCAGCAUUCUGCUAAACUGCUGAAACCCCUCCCCUUCAACAGAGGGGAAGGCAGCUCUGGUGCACGGCUGCCUCUUCUAGGAUUAGAAUUUGGGCUAAGAAGGGGAUGCCUCUCCCAUAUGUUAUCUGGGUUCUGUGUCCUAUUCUUGUCACAAGCAACAGCUUGUAUUUGCAUCUGAGUAGUUUUCUCAGCUGGCAGGAUUCCUCCCUGUAGAACUUUCCAAGAUUCAAAAGCUCCUUUCAUUUUUAUCUCUUGGAUUUUUUUUUUUAAUCCAACCAAGUAGUGUUUUUGCUACUAUGUUUCUCUUUAAGAAGUCUGAGUCUUUUGUGAAUUUUAUUGGGGUUCAUGCAAAAAAAAAUCACUUUCACAAAACUUUUUUGAGAUCAGAUCUUUAACUCAUUCUUGCAAAGCUCUACUAGGACAAUGAUUUUAAGAUUUUUGUACUCUUAAAAUCCUUAAGGAAAUUUAAGGCCCCACUGUAGAUCUUUCUAAAGUCUUAGCAAAGGGUUUUAUAGUUAGGAUCUUGACUUCUUUAGAGUGUUCCCAGCAGCAACCUGAAUUUGAUUUUAUCCUAGAAGUCAUGUAUUUUAGCAUUGUCAAUUUUGCAUGUGGGACCUCUAAAGAAGGGAAACAGAUAUUUGAACCCAGUUAAGUCCUGGGUUUUUUUUUGUUUUUGUUUUUGUGAGCUUCUUCUGUGUGUUUAGUAGUCUUUGUUUAGCUUAGCUCUCAUGUCAGUUUUACUUUUAGUUACUGUAUGCCAAAAGGCCCCUUUCCUCUGGGGCCUUUCAUGUGUGCCUUGAAGGUCCUUUCUGUAAAAUCUCUUUAAGGGUCACAUGGCUUCCUCUUACAGCCCCUUUGAAAUCUUUUUGGCUUUCCUUGUUCUUAAGUCCUUCCUGCUUCCUCUUACUUCUGGGUCCAAAGGCAUUCUACAUUUUUUUUAAUGACAACUAAUAUUUAGUAUCAGUAUCAGUGUUCGUAAUUGAUGUCUAAUAAACCACCUCAAACAAUGAACAUUUCAAGGCAACAUGUAUUCUGUUCAUAUCAGUAGUUUUGGCAAGACUCGGUGAGACCAGCUCAGUUCUUCCCAUUGGCAUCAGCUGGGGUGACUAGAACUGGGAACCAGAAUCACCUGAAGUCUCAUUUAUUCACAUGUCAGAUAGUUGAAACUGACUUUGGACUGAGCCGUUAGCAGAACCCGCAAGUAGACUAUUGAGCAGGAAGACUCAUCAUGUGGCUUGGGCUUCCACACCAAAAGGUGACUGAAUUCUAAGGGCAAGCUUCCCUAGAGAAAGUUGGGUGGCAGCUAUAUCCCAUUUGCUAGUUAACCUUCAAAUCACACAGCAGUUGCAUGACCUUCUAUUCACUAGAAAACAUCCACUAAAGCCAGAAUACAGGAGAGAGGGGAAAAAGUCAAUGUGUAGACAGGUCUUCAAACCACCAGUCUACAUAAUCAUUAUAUCUAGAGGACAGUAGUUCUUCCCAACUCAGUACCAGUGAAAUCCCACCAUAUUUUUAAUGGUAUUAUUGUUGUUUAGCAUGUUUCUUUAUUUUGUGGAAAGAAUAAGAAUAAGAAGACAAUGCUCUUGAACUCUUUUGUUCAAAAAGAUGUAUUCAUCACACCACUAAAUUUUUAUACUGGGAGAUGUCAUCAGUCCUUAUGAAGAAUCAUUACUUCUUGGAUUGCAAUUCCAAUUAACACAAAACAUUUGCAGUUCAGAAAAGGGUUUAGGAUAUUGAAUUUCUUAACUAGAAUCUUAUUUUCAAAGUCUCAUUCUGGGAGCCAUUUUUGACACAGGCCUAAAUAACUCAAUAUGACAUCCCUAAAACAUCUUUAAAAAUUAAGGAGAGAAAAUAUGACAGGAAGGGGAAAAAGACCUUCUACUACUAAGAGGUGACUCUUUUUAAGAGGAAAGUCAUGAGGCAGUCAUAGAAAAAUAAAAGUCUAAGAUCAAGUAAAAAUGUUUUGUGACAAAGAUGAUAAAUGUAAGGAAUAUGUUUUGCUGACUAAUGGAUGUUUUAACUUCUGUUGAUUUUCUGAGAAAUUCAAGGGAACACAUUCUCAGAAUCUACUAAAGAUAUUUUAUUGCAACUGAAUUUAACUCAGAUUUGUUACUGGUUUUGUGUUAGUCUAUUCUUAGUCUCCUUCCUUCAUUACCAAACUAUAUUAUGCUUAUUCAGACAGACUGAUGACAUUACAGCAAAACUGGAAACUAUCUUCAAAAUGUCUACAUUUGGAGGGGGGAAAAACCUGUUUAUUCAGCAGGAGUUAUAAUCUACAUUUGGAGGGGAAAAAAAACCAUGUUUAUUCAGCAGGAGUUAUCUGUAUAACCUUUACAAAAGAAUGAGAUGGGAAGGAUAUAGCAUCAUUAAAACAACAUUAAAACAACUCUAUUUUAACAGGUUAAUUUAUCUGCAAUAUACUUUAAUACACUACACUGCUAAUACACACUACACUGCUAAAUAUAUUUUGGAUGUAUACAUUGUCUUUUCUCUACCUUCCAAUUUGUUUUGUAGAUAUCUAGAAGAUGACAUCUGAUUCUCCCUUGAAAUAAUUUCAGUGUUCACCAUCAUUAUAACUAAUUGAUGUUUCAUGGAAACAAUUUCCAUUCAAGAACCAAUUGAGUUUUCAGACUAGUUGGCAUAAAAUAAGACUUAGGAGGAAAAGGAAAAAAAAAUGUGAUGUAGAAAUAUAACAACUCUUGAAUAGUUUGAAUUGAUUCUAUUAUUUUUUUAAUCAACUGAACCAUUCAUAGCUGAGGAAUGGAGCUCAGUGGUAAAGCACUUGCCUAACAUGAACAAGGACCCGAGGUUGAUCCCAAGCAUCGCACAAUAACUAAAACAAAAAGACAACACAAGAAUGAUUUAAAACAUUUUAUUGCACACAUUUAAUGCAUUUGAUAUGAAUGACAAAUGUUUUAAACUUCAGCAUCUUUUUCCCAUAUUUAAAAUUGCAGUCUGAAUGAUGGACUCAAAACUAAAGAAGACCAACAGCAUAACAAUUGUGUUACGAUUAUUUUUAACAUAUAUCGUUUAAAUUUGCUUGACACAAGUUGGAGCUAAGGAAAGUUUAGAGAAGUUAACAGAGAAUCACAAUCCUUCAAUAAAAAGUCAGACAGAACUCAGAAUUUAAGAUCUGGAAUCUGAACUCUGUAAAACAAACACUCAAGAAAAUGAUAAACAGAACUGAAAAAAUACAAGCAAAUCUACUAUCUAGGAGAAUUCAGAAUUAGAAAAUCAUUGUCAGAUGUACUAAAACAAGUAAUGGAAAGAUAAGAUCAGAAGAUAAAUUAAGGUCUGUGGGGUUUAUUCCAUCUCCACAAAUUAGAAGAGUUAUCAUUGGCCAUAAAGGAAAGGAAUGGUGACUCUUCUUUUUUAUUGAAAUCUCUCAUAACUUCAGGUUAACAGAAUUGAUCGGAUCAUAAUCUGUGUUUCUAAAGAAUAAUAUUUAGUGAGAUAAGUCCAUGGUAUCACUGGGAAACAAAAGGUAACUGUUAGGUCAGUGGUGGUGACUUGGUGGUGGUGAUGGUGGGGAGGGAGGAAGGAACAUCAAUCAGAUGCCGGCGGAAACCCCUGUCAAUCAGUGAGAUCUCCUGACUAACGCCUGUCAAUCAGCAGGACCCCCUGGCCAAUCCUGGAGUUCAGUCAACUCCCCUGACCAACUCCAAAAAGGGACAAGGGACCCUAAAAUCACCUUUUUCUGUCCCAAGUCUUUCCCUUCCUGCUAUAAGCCCCAUAAAAGUCCAAUCCGGUUGAGCUUCCACAUGGUUUUCCCUCAGACCCUGCUCCUGACCCCUUUGUGGGUCUGAUCAAGUUCUGCCCGGGAGUGAUAUCUCAAUAAAGCCUGUUCAGCGGCCCUUUUAAAUCUGCCUCCUUUAGUCGCUGCCCGCCUUGCCCGAUCUCACAGUAACUAGAUAAGAAAAUUUUGGAAAACAAUGUAAAUGAAUAAACUUGACUUCAAAAUAUUAAUACUUCUUACCUUGUUUUAUGGUUUUAUGAGUUCCCCUCUCUUAAUAUUCUUAUUUAGCUUAACUGAUCUAUUAGGGUUACAGCUAAGUACUUCAGCUUUAUAAUUAAGACAGUGAUAUUGUUACCCAAUUGCUCAUCAACAUUCCCUCAAAUAAAUGUAUCAACAAGUGUGACCACUUGUGAAAGAUUAUAACUGAAACCCGAGUUGGGUUCUGAUAACCUCCUCUGGGUGCAUUCGGGCACGUGGUCAGUUAAUUUUCCUUGUUGGCCAUCUUUCGUGUUCUCCCUAGAGGGUCCCUGGAGACACUCUGUCCUUUAGAGCUGUUGGAGUCUACAUAAAGGCAUACCUGUGACGUAGGGGAUGGUUAACACAGGACAAAGGGGAGAAAAAUUCACAAAUGUGGUUUAAACAUAUCCCUUGGCCAGUGCGAGGGUCCGAGUGGAAGAAACAAAGGGGCGGUCCCACUUUUGAUGCCUUGCUAAGGAUGUUAGAGCUAAUUGCCUUCCAGGCUGCUUCAAUUGUUCAGUUCUUCUGGUCACCAGCUCAGUUACCUGGUUCUCCCUUAGAGGGCGCUGCUCUGAAGUAUCCUGAGGACCAAAUGCUGGCUCAAUUUCCCCCAGCUAAAGUGUGGCAUGUGCAGAUGGUGAGAGCACAUGCUUGUCAAUGCCUUUGAGGGAUGUUUCAUAAAAUCCUUGUUUUUAUAAGUACAAAUAUUCCUAGAUUUUUUUCAGUUUUAUUUUAAUUGCAUAUUGUGGGAGGCUAUCAUCGCAGGUGAUUUGAGUUACCUCCCUGGCUGGAUGAGAGGCACUUAGGCACAUCUUUUUUGUCCAGAGCUUUCCCCAACCUUCUCAGGUCUGAGGGCUUGUCUGCAUGGAAGCCUGUCUUGGCCACUACCCGGAAGACCCAACUGUCGCACCUGACCUUGGGACCCUGCCCCCCUUCAUCUUCAUUGGAGGGGAUUUUCUUCAGAAUUUUUUGUUCCCCAAUAAAAGUCCACUCCCUGGUGUGUUCUCUCUUUCGCUGAUCUCUUCAGUAAACCUCACUACUCUAAUAGGUGGCUGAAGGCUGGAGCUAGGAGAAGCCGUCCUGGAGCUGGUUUAAAGGUAAUUAGAGUCUUGUCUCUUUAAUUCAAAACUCCCUAGAGAUUUCUCAGGUACUGAACCUUCAUUAAUGAAGCCUGUGCUGGCCACCGGGCUAAAGCAUAUAUUAAAAAAGUACAUUUUAAUAUAUUUAUACAAAGUGACAUGGCCACUGUAGUGACACUAACAAACCUUUCAUCUCAUAGUUACCCUUUCUAAUGGCAUCAAUAUCUCUUACUUUGAGUGACUAGGAAUUAACCUAGAAAAGAAUGGACUUAUUUAGAACAAUUUUAAACAUAUAAUUGUGUCUAGUAGGUAUGUUCUGACAUUUUCAGUGUGAAGGCACUGCUUGAUGGGAAUUUCCAUCUUCUCUUUGGAGAAGUUUUGUUUUGUUUAAUGCAAAUCAUUUAGAUGUAAUUGAAGGGAAAAUGAGAAACUUUCUCUUUUCCAAUCUUCACAGGUCUAAGUAGAAACUAAAGGACUUCGAUACCAAUGUUGCAUAGAGAAAUUGCAGAAUAAAUCUUUAGGACAGACCUAGAGUGCCCUUGUGUUGGAAAUCUUAAUAAUGGUUUGGACUCAACAAGAGUUUUAUUCCACAAGAAAACAUACUCAUAGCCUUGAAAUGACAGUGUGCAGAACUAUCUAACCAAGAUCUUCUGAACCCCAAGUGUUGUUGCAAAACAUCGUGUUUGUACAGUACUGGAAUCUAGCGUCUGAGUAAAUAAAAGAAUCCUGGUGAUUAAGAAGUCUCUCCACCCCUCUGUAUUUCAGAAAAUGGCAUAUGCAUGAUAUCACCUCUACUUAAAUGAAAGUCUGUUCCUUGUGGCUCUCAGAAGACUCAGUUUUAGGCUCCUGACACCUGACAGGCCAGGGCUACUUUUUCAGUUUUCAUUCUCAGCAUGAGGAAACUCUGGAUGCAGAAAAGCAGUUAUCAGGAAGUUGCUUUUAAUUCUAAUGGGGCUCUGUUUCUGUAGCAGAAACUUACCAGGUAGCAGAAUGGUUUUUCAUUAUUAUCUUUCAAGAAUGCAUGUCUUUAGGAAGAGACUGAAGUGAGAAGUUAAAAACAUGAGAACUGCAAAAGUACUCAAGAACAUAGAAAUUUUAUUAGGAUAAUAAAUCAACAUGUGAAGAGCCAGAUCAAAAAAGGAACUUUGUAUUUUUCAACACAAUGGAUUACAAGAUAAGAAUAUUUAACUGCAGAUGUGCCUUAAAACAAGAAUAUGAGAAGAAAUGUCGUAUGGCUUUAUGAAAAAUUAAGGGACAGGUAACAAAGAAGAGCAAGAUUAAUGACAUUAUAGCAAAACUGGAAACUGCAUCUUCAAAAUGUCUAU